AACUUCAGGAAACUGGGGCUAAUACCGGAUAGGAGCUCCUGCUGCAUGGUGGGGGUUGGAAAGUUUCGGCGGUUGGGGAUGGACUCGCGGCUUAUCAGCUUGUUGGUGGGGUAGUGGCUUACCAAGGCUUUGACGGGUAGCCGGCCUGAGAGGGUGACCGGCCACAUUGGGACUGAGAUACGGCCCAGACUCCUACGGGAGGCAGCAGUGGGGAAUAUUGCACAAUGGGCGGAAGCCUGAUGCAGCAACGCCGCGUGCGGGAUGACGGCCUUCGGGUUGUAAACCGCUUUCGCCUGUGACGAAGCGUGAGUGACGGUAAUGGGUAAAGAAGCACCGGCUAACUACGUGCCAGCAGCCGCGGUGAUACGUAGGGUGCGAGCGUUGUCCGGAUUUAUUGGGCGUAAAGGGCUCGUAGGUGGUUGAUCGCGUCGGAAGUGUAAUCUUGGGGCUUAACCNNGAGCGUGCUUUCGAUACGGGUUGACUUGAGGAAGGUAGGGGAGAAUGGAAUUCCUGGUGGAGCGGUGGAAUGCGCAGAUAUCAGGAGGAACACCAGUGGCGAAGGCGGUUCUCUGGGCCUUUCCUGACGCUGAGGAGCGAAAGCGUGGGGAGCGAACAGGCUUAGAUACCCUGGUAGUCCACGCUGUAAACGGUGGGUACUAGGUGUGGGGUCCAUUCCACGGGUUCCGUGCCGUAGCUAACGCUUUAAGUACCCCGCCUGGGGAGUACGGCCGCAAGGCUAAAACUCAAAGGAAUUGACGGGGCCCCGCACAAGCGGCGGAGCAUGCGGAUUAAUUCGAUGCAACGCGUAGAACCUUACCUGGGUUUGACAUGGAUCGGGAGUGCUCAGAGAUGGGUGUGCCUCUUUUGGGGUCGGUUCACAGGUGGUGCAUGGCUGUCGUCAGCUCGUGUCGUGAGAUGUUGGGUUAAGUCCCGCAACGAGCGCAACCCUUGUUCACUGUUGCCAGCACGUUAUGGUGGGGACUCAGUGGAGACCGCCGGGGUCAACUCGGAGGAAGGUGGGGAUGACGUCAAGUCAUCAUGCCCCUUAUGUCCAGGGCUUCACGCAUGCUACAAUGGCUGGUACAGAGAGUGGCGAGCCUGUGAGGGUGAGCGAAUCUCGGAAAGCCGGUCUCAGUUCGGAUUG
This 1144-nucleotide ribosomal RNA is filed under the name Cutibacterium acnes. Its description in RNAcentral is "bacterial SSU rRNA". It matches the Rfam family "Bacterial small subunit ribosomal RNA", at positions 145 to 1300 of the family's 1533-position model. Lineage: Bacteria; Bacillati; Actinomycetota; Actinomycetes; Propionibacteriales; Propionibacteriaceae. The record is from RNAcentral.